GGUGGCUCAGAGGUAGAGUGUUUGCCUUGCAUGCAUGAAGCCCUGGGUUCGAUUCCUCAGCACCA
RNAcentral lists this transfer RNA (65 nucleotides) under Dipodomys ordii (Ord's kangaroo rat). It matches the Rfam family "tRNA". Rfam says of the family: Transfer RNA (tRNA) molecules are approximately 80 nucleotides in length. Their secondary structure includes four short double-helical elements and three loops (D, anti-codon, and T loops). The record is from Rfam by way of RNAcentral. Lineage: Eukaryota; Metazoa; Chordata; Mammalia; Rodentia; Heteromyidae.